UGCAGUCGAACGAUGAACCGCUUUCGGGCGGGGAUUAGUGGCGAACGGGUGAGUAACACGUGGGCAAUCUGCCCUGCACUCUGGGACAAGCCCUGGAAACGGGGUCUAAUACCGGAUAUGACCGUCUGCCGCAUGGUGGAUGGUGUAAAGCUCCGGCGGUGCAGGAUGAGCCCGCGGCCUAUCAGCUUGUUGGUGAGGUAGUGGCUCACCAAGGCGACGACGGGUAGCCGGCCUGAGAGGGCGACCGGCCACACUGGGACUGAGACACGGCCCAGACUCCUACGGGAGGCAGCAGUGGGGAAUAUUGCACAAUGGGCGAAAGCCUGAUGCAGCGACGCCGCGUGAGGGAUGACGGCCUUCGGGUUGUAAACCUCUUUCAGCAGGGAAGAAGCGAAAGUGACGGUACCUGCAGAAGAAGCGCCGGCUAACUACGUGCCAGCAGCCGCGGUAAUACGUAGGGCGCAAGCGUUGUCCGGAAUUAUUGGGCGUAAAGAGCUCGUAGGCGGCUUGUCACGUCGGUUGUGAAAGCCCGGGGCUUAACCCCGGGUCUGCAGUCGAUACGGGCAGGCUAGAGUUCGGUAGGGGAGAUCGGAAUUCCUGGUGUAGCGGUGAAAUGCGCAGAUAUCAGGAGGAACACCGGUGGCGAAGGCGGAUCUCUGGGCCGAUACUGACGCUGAGGAGCGAAAGCGUGGGGAGCGAACAGGAUUAGAUACCCUGGUAGUCCACGCCGUAAACGGUGGGCACUAGGUGUGGGCAA
RNAcentral lists this ribosomal RNA (757 nucleotides) under Streptomyces sp. 7-8. RNAcentral describes it as "bacterial SSU rRNA". It matches the Rfam family "Bacterial small subunit ribosomal RNA", at positions 56 to 829 of the family's 1533-position model. The record is from RNAcentral. Lineage: Bacteria; Bacillati; Actinomycetota; Actinomycetes; Kitasatosporales; Streptomycetaceae.